AGCGAACGCUAGCGGCGGGCUUAACACAUGCAAGUCGAGCGCUUCACUUCGGUGAAGAGCGGCGGACGGGUGAGUAACACGUAGGUUACCUGCCCCUGGGUGAGGGACAACCGAGGGAAACCUCGGCUAAUACCACAUAUGGUCUACGGAUCAAAGGCUUCGGCCGCCCGGGGAUGGGCCUGCGUCCCAUUAUUUAAUCCUAGUUGGCGGGGUAACGGCCCACCAAGGGUACGAUGGGUAGCUGGUCUGAGAGGAUGAUCAGUCACACUGGAACUGAGACACGGUCCAGACUCCUACGGGAGGCAGCAGUGGGGAAUAUUGCGCAAUGGGCGAAAGCCUGACGCAGCAACGCCGCGUGGGUGAUGAAGGCCCUUGGGUCGUAAAGCCCUGUCAGGAGGGAAGAAUGAGCAGGUGGUUAAUACCCAUCUGAAGUGACGGUACCUCCAAAGGAAGCACCGGCUAACUCCGUGCCAGCAGCCGCGG
Molecule: ribosomal RNA, 483 nt
Filed under: uncultured bacterium
Lineage: Bacteria
Description: bacterial SSU rRNA
Rfam family: Bacterial small subunit ribosomal RNA
Source: RNAcentral